This is a non-coding RNA of Amborella trichopoda, 4360 nucleotides long. The record is from RefSeq and is a predicted model, not a curated record. Lineage: Eukaryota; Viridiplantae; Streptophyta; Magnoliopsida; Amborellales; Amborellaceae.
UAUGCACACUUUUCUCUGUAAUUUUACAUAUUAUUUCUCUCUCUUUAUAUCUCUCAAGGUUCACCAUUGCACAUUCUCGGCCCUUUCAUUUCCCGGCAUCUUUGCCCGAAAAUAUCGCCGGAAAACACACUAUUGAUGCUGGGAAUCGGCGACAAGCUUUCUCUGAAGUCUGGAAUCUCAUUUUCCCUGCGAAAUAAUGCCCGAGAAAUCAUCCUGAACAACGCCAUUAUAUUGUCCCUUGAAUAUCUUUCACCGCCAUUUUAGAGCUCUUCAUUGUGUUAGUUACAGUUUCGAGGCUAAAAAUGAGUGGAAUGAGCUUCUGAUCUCUGCAACAUUACAAAAUCCUUGUUCCCGUUUUUCCCGCCACCCUUUUCGUGGCUUUUUGGCCGGAAUAAUCGCCAGAAGAUUUAUGUGACCGGAUAAAGCCGGAAUACAGUGGCAGAGCUUUAACUACGGUUCAUAUUUUCCGUGUUAGGUAGGGAGUAUGAAAUUUUGAUACCAUCUCUGGUUUUUUCCUGCAAAACGCUGGAAUAAGGCAAGGUACGAUCAAUUAAAUAUUAAUAUACAUCCAAAGAACUGUAGACCGUGUCUCGUUCUCUGUGUCUUGCUCUGCAACUUUACAGCACAUUUCACAGCAAAUAUGCUUUCUACUUUCUAUGUUUUGGUCCAGAUUUUUCCAUUUAAUGACGUAAUUUACGACGCAGACUUGUUCCAUUUACACUUGCUAAGCCUCAAGCCCAUCUACAUUUUAUAAUUUCCAGGCCAUUUUGUUCAGAAGAACCUUCCCUGCAUAUUCACAGAGAAAAGCAAAAAAAAAAAAAAGGGAAAAAGAAAAAAAAAUCAUCUAUACUCCCCUCCUUUGCCUUUUCUGAUAAAACUACCAUCUUCCGGUCAAAACUAUAUUGGAAAAGCUCAGAUUUGCAGACAAAUGGCAUAUUCUUGAUGGUUUCUCUAAUUGAUUCACCUUUUAUUUAUCUUUCUUGGAUUUGAACUUUGCAGGCAUUUAUUUACACAAAAACCACUUCUCCAGGCAUCUGUUUCCCUGGUUUUCUGGAAAAUGCUUUCAUUCACUGGAAACAUGUAACUUUCACUAUUUUCUCCUUUGAUUUUUUUUUUUGCUUUGUUUUCCUUAGUUUUUUUGGUCGGUUUCCUUUUCCUUAUGUAACAUUUUCCUGUCCUAGCAUAAGAUACAGAGCAUUGCAUUUCUCUGCAAGGUAUUUGAUGGUUUUUAAGCCUUAUUCUCCCGCGUUUUGGUUCUGCAACUUUAGCUUGAAAGUCUUCCCCUUUUCUCCAUAGAGCUCCCAUAUGGUAUUAUGAACACAUUAUUUCCGUUAUUCAUUUCACAGUGAAGCUUAAUAUUAUUCUUUUUCAGUUUGUUGGUUAUAUCUAACCAGUGUUAAAUACUACUCCAAACUCCGACCUUAGAUCUUUAAGUUGAAGUUAACAGUAGCAAGAUUCAUGACUCUUCCUUCAAUGGAGGGAGAAGAAGGGGAUUGUAAGCCUGUGAAGGACUCUAGGGUAACAAAACCAGUUGCAGAUGAAGUAGUCUUACUCAUAGACAAACCUAGCGAUGUGUCGAACAAAAAAAAAACAGUUGAAAACACAGAAGCUGAGAACUUGAUCACAGCAAGAGAUUCACAGUACUCUCAUGGCUCCUGCUCCUUCUCCAAAGACUCUGUUGCUUCUUUUCACAUUCAUUGUGAUGAUCAACCAAAGCCAAAAGUAGAUAACCAUAAAGAGAAGGCAAAGUCGAGUCCAGAGACCAAGCCUACUAAUCCUCCCAAUCGAGUUCUUUCAAGGUCUGUAUUUUCAAAGCCAAAAUCUAGGUUUGUAGAACCCAGCUACCCAUCUUCUGCAGAAGAAACCUUAAAUGCUCCAUUGAUUCAACAGAAGCAAGAAUAUAUAAGCUCACCAUACAGGGGUUCAACCCCUCGAGAAAGUACAAUUAGGGCUCGUAUAAGCUCACCAUUCAGAAGUUCACCAAAAGGAGGUGUAAAAGGAACACCAAAGAGCACUACUCCUUCUGUCAUUGAUGAGGAAGAAGAAGAAACAUACAAAGAUGAAGAUCUUCCUGGUAAAAAGCCAUGGCAAAAGAAACCAAGCAUCAGGGUUUUAGUAGAGUGGACUGCCUUUAUUCUGAUAACGGGUUGCUUAAUUUGUAGCUUAACUGUAAACCCAUUGAAGGACCGGACAAUCUGGGGCCUUGAAAUAUGGAAAUGGUGUCUAAUGGUUCUUGUUAUCUUCUGUGGAAGACUGGUUUCAGGGUGGUUCAUCACCCUUCUGGUAUUGCUCAUAGAGCAAAAUUUCAUGCUUAGAAAGAAGGUGCUAUACUUUGUAUAUGGACUGAGGAAAAGUGUUCAAAAAUGCCUUUGGCUUGGGCUUAUUCUUCUGGCUUGGUCUCUCUUAUUCGAUGACAAGGUAGAGCGAACAACCAAGAGCCACAAGAUCCUAUCCCAUGUUUCAAGAGCUCUGGUUGCCUUUCUUAUUGCUGCUGCUCUUUGGUUGGUUAAAACUCUUCUGGUAAAAGUGUUGGCGUCUUCUUUUCAUGUGAACACUUUCUUCGAUAGAAUUCAAGAAUCUAUAUUUCAUCAAUAUGUUCUCGAGGCUCUUUCAGGGCCUCCUGUAAUGGAGUUACAGGAGACAUUAAGUAAAGGUGGUGAUGGUGCUAGGAGUGCUGGAAAAUUGAGUUUUAGAACUGGGGCACAAGGGAAGAAAGUGAAGGUCGAAGAUGGGGUAAUAGAUGUGGAUAAGCUCCAUAAGAUGGAGCAGGACAAGGUAUCGGCAUGGACUAUGAAGAGAAUGGUUAAUGUGAUAAGAAGCUCUGGCUUGUCUACUAUUUCAAAUGCCCUUGAUGAGUCAGUGGAUGAGGAGGAGCAGAGGGAGAUCAACAGCGAGUGGGAAGCCAAGGCUGCUGCUUAUAGAAUAUUCAGGAAUGCUGCGAAGCCUGGUUCCAAGUAUAUUGAAGAAGAGGAUUUGCUUAGAUUCUUGAGGAAGAAUGAGGUGGAUAGCAUAUUUCCUCAGUUUGAAGGGGCGAUAGAGACAGGGAAGAUCAAGAAAUCGGCUCUGAGGAACUGGGUGGUGAAGGUGUACCUAGAUCGCAAAGCUCUUGCACACUCCUUGAAUGAUACCAAUACAGCCGUUAAUCAACUGCACAAGCUAGCGAGUGCAACUGCAAUAAUCAUUAUUAUAAUUGUCUGCCUGCUUUUCAUGGGAUUUGCAACGACUAAAGUUCUCUUUUUCAUAUCCUCACAGCUCUUAUUAGUGGUUUUCAUAUUCGGGAACACUUGCAAAACCAUGUUUGAAUCAAUCAUUUUCGUGUUCGUGAUGCAUCCCUUUGAUGUUGGGGAUCGAUGCGUUAUUGAUGGAGUCCAGAUGAUUGUGGAAGAGAUGAACAUCUUAACGACCAUUUUCUUGCGAUACGACAAUGAGAAAAUAUACUAUCCAAAUGCUGUGUUACUGACAAAACCAAUCAGCAACUUUUAUAGGAGCCCAGAGAUGGGGGAUAAUGUAGAGUUCUGUGUUGAUGUUUCAACUUCCAUGGAAAGCAUCGGAGCUCUCAAAGCCAGGAUACAGUCAUAUUUAGAGAGCAAACCUCAGCACUGGCAACCAAAGCACAGCGUAGUGGUAAAAGAUAUAGAGAACUUAAAUAAGAUGAAAAUGGGGCUCUAUGUUACACAUACCAUUAACCACCAGAACUAUGCGGAAAAGACUAGCAGGAGGUCAGACCUGGUUUUGGAGUUGAAGAAGAUAUUCGCGGAACUUGGCAUUCGCUACCGACUUUUGCCUCAGGAAGUUGAGAUCACUAGCAUGACAGGCCGCAUCCCAUUUUAGAGGGGAUAUGAUAUGUGGGCUGUUGCUAGGUUACGAAAUGCAUUGCUGAUUUAUCGGAACAUGCAAAAGUGUCCUCUAUAUGUAUUUUGGCCAUAGGAAGGUGGAAUAUAAUAUUUGGAAUCGGCUUGGGCCUGAGAGCUUCAUAGGUGAUGUUGGCAAUGCCACAUCUCAUGUUUGAUUCUUACAUUCGAACUACCCAAAAGAAAGAGUUGGACCCUGAUUUUGAGGGACACUGUGAUUGGACUGCAUCAUCAUCCGACGCGCCCACCAUCGACCUAUCAUGAACAACCGAAAUUAAACAAAAAUUACAUUCAAAAAUCAAGAUUCUGAUAUGAUCUCCGCUGUCCAUUAAAAAAAGGUGUGGAUGGAUAAGGGACGCAAUCCAAUAACUUGAUGGUUCUAAGGCCUUUUGAAGAACAAUUGCAGACCUACGAGGAAUUCAAUGAAGGGGGGAGCUACUGAACCUUGCAAUUCAGCCCCAUGGAGAGCCAAAGUUCGGGAGCUCGCCCGUCUCUCCCUUUUGGACAGG